This 485-nucleotide ribosomal RNA is filed under the name uncultured bacterium. RNAcentral's name for it is "partial 16S ribosomal RNA". It matches the Rfam family "Bacterial small subunit ribosomal RNA", at positions 28 to 507 of the family's 1533-position model. The record is from RNAcentral.
AUUGAACGCUGGCGGCAUGCCUUACACAUGCAAGUCGAACGGCAGCGGGCCCUUCGGGGUGCCGGCGAGUGGCGAACGGGUGAGUAAUGCAUCGGAACGUACCCGGGAGAGGGGGAUAACCGGCCGAAAGGCUGGCUAAUACCGCAUGAACUCGGAAGAGCAAAGCGGGGGACCUUCGGGCCUCGCGCUCUCGGAGCGGCCGAUGUCCGAUUAGGCUAGUUGGUGGGGUAAAGGCCCACCAAGGCGACGAUCGGUAGCGGGGCUGAGAGGACGAUCCGCCACACUGGGACUGAGACACGGCCCAGACUCCUACGGGAGGCAGCAGUGGGGAAUCUUGGACAAUGGGCGCAAGCCUGAUCCAGCAAUGCCGCGUGGGUGAAGAAGGCCUUCGGGUUGUAAAGCCCUUUCGGCGGGGAAGAAAUCGGUCAGGCGAAUAGUCUGGCCGGAUGACGGUACCCGCAGAAGAAGCACCGGCUAACUACGUG